RNAcentral lists this ribosomal RNA (475 nucleotides) under uncultured bacterium. RNAcentral describes it as "bacterial SSU rRNA". It matches the Rfam family "Bacterial small subunit ribosomal RNA", at positions 30 to 506 of the family's 1533-position model. The record is from RNAcentral.
UUGAACGCUGGCGGUAUGCUUAACACAUGCAAGUCGAACGGCAGCACGAACUAGCUUGCUAGUUGGGUGGCGAGUGGCGAACGGGUGAGGAAUACAUAGGAAUCUGCCUUUAGGUGGGGGAUAGCUAGGGGAAACUCUGGGUAAUACCGCAUGAUCUCGCAAGAGCAAAGGGGCGCAAGUCUCGCCUUUAGAGGAGCCUAUGUCUGAUUAGCUAGUUGGCGGUGUAAUAGACCACCAAGGUGAUGAUCAGUAACUGGUCUGAGAGGACGAUCAGUCACACCGGAACUGAGACACGGUCCGGACUCCUACGGGAGGCAGCAGUGGGGAAUAUUGGACAAUGGGCGAAAGCCUGAUCCAGCAAUUCCGCGUGUGUGAAGAAGGCCUUCGGGUUGUAAAGCACUUUAGUGGGGGAAGAAACAGCUUGGCCACACCAAGCCUUGACGGUACCCCAAGAAUAAGCACCGGCUAACUCUGU